GACGAACGCUGGCGGCGUGCUUAACACAUGCAAGUCGAGCGGUAAGGCCCUUUCGGGGGUACACGAGCGGCGAACGGGUGAGUAACACGUGGGUGACCUGCCCUCAGCUCUGGGAUAAGCCUGGGAAACCGGGUCUAAUACCGGAUAUGACUCCAUGACGCAUGUUGUGGGGUGGAAAGCCUUGUGCGGCUGAGGAUGGGCCCGCGGCCUAAUCAGCUUGUUGGUGGGGUGAUGGCCUACCAAGGCGACGACGGGUAGCCGGCCUGAGAGGGCGACCGGCCACACUGGGACUGAGACACGGCCCAGACUCCUACGGGAGGCAGCAGUGGGGAAUCUUGCGCAAUGGGCGAAAGCCUGACGCAGCGACGCCGCGU
RNAcentral lists this ribosomal RNA (374 nucleotides) under uncultured bacterium. RNAcentral describes it as "bacterial SSU rRNA". It matches the Rfam family "Bacterial small subunit ribosomal RNA", at positions 28 to 402 of the family's 1533-position model. The record is from RNAcentral.